UGCCAGCCGCCGCGGUAAUACGGAGGGAGCUAGCGUUGUUCGGAAUUACUGGGCGUAAAGCGCUCGUAGGCGGAUUGGUCAGUCAGAGGUGAGAGCCCAGGGCUCAACCUUGGAAUUGCCUUUGAUACUGCCAGUCUUGAGUUCGGGAGAGGUGAGCGGAAUUCCGAGUGUAGAGGUGAAAUUCGUAGAUAUUCGGAGGAACACCAGUGGCGAAGGCGACUUCCUGGGCCAAUACUGACGCUGAGGUGCGAAAGCGUGGGGAGCAAACAGGAUUAGAUA
This 279-nucleotide ribosomal RNA is filed under the name uncultured bacterium. Its description in RNAcentral is "partial 16S ribosomal RNA". It matches the Rfam family "Bacterial small subunit ribosomal RNA", at positions 506 to 784 of the family's 1533-position model. The record is from RNAcentral.